CAGCAGCCGCGGUAAUACGGAGGAUCCAAACGUUAUCCGGAAUCAUUGGGUUUAAAGGGUCCGUAGGCGGUUUAGUAAGUCAGUGGUGAAAGCCCAUCACUCAACGGUGGAACGGCCAUUGAUACUGCUAAACUUGAAUUAUUAGGAAGUAACUAGAAUAUGUAGUGUAGCGGUGAAAUGCUUAGAGAUUACAUGGAAUACCAAUUGCGAAGGCAGGUUACUACUAAUGGAUUGACGCUGAUGGACGAAAGCGUGGGUAGCGAACAGGAUUAGAUACCCUGGUAGUCCACGCCGUAAACGAUGGAUACUAGCUGUUGGAAGCAAUUUCAGUGGCUAAGCGAAAGUGAUAAGUAUCCCACCUGGGGAGUACGUUCGCAAGAAUGAAACUCAAAGGAAUUGACGG
Molecule: ribosomal RNA, 403 nt
Filed under: uncultured bacterium
Lineage: Bacteria
Description: bacterial SSU rRNA
Rfam family: Bacterial small subunit ribosomal RNA
Source: RNAcentral